UUUUAGUAGAGAUGGAGUUUCACCGUGUUGGUCAGGCUGGUCUCAAACUCCUGACCUCAGGUGAUCCACCCGCCUCAGCCUCCCAAAGUGCUGGGAUUACAGUUGUGAGCCACCACGCCCAGCCUGUAAUUUUAUUUUUAAGAAUGGCUAUGUUCUCAGAAGCUCAGGCUUACAGUAACCUAUGAUUGCACCACUGUCUACAGCCUGGGCAACACAGCAAGACCCUGCCUUAAAAAAAAAAAAAAAAAAGGCUAGGCUCAGUGGCUCGUGCCUGUAAUCCCAGCACUGGGAGGCUGAGGUGGGAGAUUUGCUUGAGGCCAGGCAUUCAAGACCAGCCUGGGAAACAUAACAAGACCUGCCUCCAUUAAAUUUUUUUUUAAAAUAAAAAUAAAAAGUAAGAAAGAAUGGCUAUAUUUAGCUGUCAAACUUUCUAAAAUUUGGAAAUAACUCUGACAAGCUGGUUCCAGCAUGCUACUGCUACCCUCCCGAAUUGAGCCACAUGUGGGGAAAUAAAUAACUGAACCAAACUCAGUCCCCAUCAGCAGGAAAGAAGAAAGAAAAGGAUGUUGGAGAGGUAGCAAACAGUGUCUGUUACAAACAUUAUUCAUUAAAAGGGCAUUACAUCUCUAUUUAUUCCUCAACUUACUUCCAUGACUGCAGGUUCAUAUAAGUGUGUCAUUCUACAAGAGUUUAAGGUGGAAUUGGGGAUACUAUUAGAUGGUAUUAAGGCCAUAAACCUAAUGCCUGGCACAGAACAGGGACAUAGUAGGUGCUCCAGUAUUUGUGGAAUGAAUGAAAACCUACUGGAAUCCUGCCCAAGGCAGCAAACCCUCCUCUCCUACAAGGACUUGAGUUACAAACAGGAACAGAUAAAAAGUCGAGUAACUAUUUUUAAUGAUGGCCAGAGCCAUGCGCCAAUGCUGAGAACUCUGAUAAUACAGAUACUAAGGGGUCCUUCCUUUGCCCUAGGCUAGACUCCAAAAUCAGGAUCUCACUAAACUCUGGCCAGCCUGGCCCCAUGGAAAGAGGACAGUGAGUCUGAGAAGUCCUCUUAACAUUCCCGAGAAGUAGAGGGCAGACAGAAGCAGAAGAGAAGAUCUGCACCCUUGCAAAUGACCUGUUAGUGCGCCACGACCAUUCUACUAGUUCCUGGCUGCUCAACGUUGGGUCUCCAGACCAGAAGCAGAUGCAUCACCUCUGCACCCAUUUCACUGAAUCUUAAAUGAUGCUUUCAAGACAGAAGGAAGAACAGUACACCUGAGAUGACCCCAAAGCACAAUGAUACAACUGUUCAACCUAUUUGAUAUGGAUUUCUCCUAUUCGGAAGAAAUUUCAACAACUUCACUUCUAACUUAAACACAUUCAUCGACUAGCCUGGCCAACAUGGUGAAACCCCGUGUCUACUAAAAAUACAAAAAUUAGCUGGGCGUGGUGGCAUAUGCCUGUAGUCCCAGCUACUUGGGAGGCUGAGGCAGAAGAAUCACUUGAACCUGGGAGGCAGAGGUUGCAGCAAGCCGAGAUUGUGCCAUUGCACUCCAGCCUGGGCGACAAGAGCAAAACUCCGUCUCAAAAAAUAAAUAAACAAACACAUAUAACACUGUCAAAAUAAGGAGAAACUUUCUUUCCCACAUUGAAAGUCAUUGAUGUUUUCCUUAAAAGCAUUGUAUCAUGUUUGUAUUCUUUAACAAUCAAAAAGAAUCAUUGUCUGCCUUUUUGUUUCUUCUUUUCUAAAUGAAAACAUUUAUAAAAAUAUUUAAGUGGAUAAGUUGCCUAUUGAAAUUGUAAUGUCCCUGAAGUAUUGGUUGAGCUUAAUUUAUUCAUAUAAGUUUCAAGCCAUUCAAAGGCCUAUUUUUCUGGCAGAAAACUAAAGACAGAGCUGUUAUUGUACCAUCUGGUUUGCAUGAGGAAUCUCUUGGCAUCUCUUAACUGCACAUUUUAUAAAUGCUAAAUCCCAGAUGGCAUACAUUGUAACAGUGAAGAGUUUUAUAAAGGCUUCCAAAAACAAAUUCUUUCAAAUUUGAAUACUGGAUAGUCUAAGCAGGGGCUAGGAAUUUAAAUUCUACACUUGAUUAAACUGGCUUUGUUAGCUGAACAAAUUUCCCUUUUUUCUUAUGUCUUUCCUUCUUCCUAAUUAUUGGUUCUGUGACUUGAAAAUUUCAAUCCAUGUAAUUCUUCUACCAACAGGUCCCCUCUAUAACUCAAGUUCUAGAAAAACUGCAGGAACGACAAUCAUUGGAAAAACCUAUGUUAGGUGCCAUUUUGUUUCAAAGAUGGUAGAAUUUACCACAAGGGAGGUGUGUUAUAGCAUCCAUUAGCAGAUCAUCAAAUACCAUCAAAACCGUUCAACUCUUACAAAGCUGAUGGUUGGAUUGGAAAGACAAGCAAAUGUAAACUCCAAGCAUUGUGUUGAAAUAAAGCCAGAGUAGAAUAAUGAUUGAGAACAUGGGGUCUGAAGUCAGAGACUGACAGAUAUUAAGCCCCAGAUUGGAUCUUCCCAUUAAGUUGGGCAAAUUACUUCUCCCUAAGCUUUAGUUUCUUCAUCAGUAAAAUAAAGACAGUACUUUUCUCUUUAAAAGAGAAUCAUUCACAGGGUUGUUGCAAGUAAUUACUGAAUAUUUGUAAAAUACUAAGUACAGUUUAUGGUGUGUAGUCAGCACUUAAUUAAAGUAAAUUAAUAGUAGUACUAGCACUAGGAGAAAGAAAGUUUCUCCUUUCUUUAAGUCAAUCUAUAUAAAUGCAGCAUUUUCUUAAAACUUCUCUUUUCUCUGCAUUUUCCUUCUCAAUAACAACAGCCGAGACCUAGUUUUGUUUUUUU
Molecule: long non-coding RNA, 2815 nt
Filed under: Homo sapiens (human)
Lineage: Eukaryota; Metazoa; Chordata; Mammalia; Primates; Hominidae
Description: HSALNT0384910
Source: RNAcentral